This 911-nucleotide ribosomal RNA is filed under the name uncultured marine bacterium. Its description in RNAcentral is "bacterial SSU rRNA". It matches the Rfam family "Bacterial small subunit ribosomal RNA", at positions 8 to 916 of the family's 1533-position model. The record is from RNAcentral.
AGAGUUUGAUCCUGGCUCAGAUUGAACGCUGGCGGCAGGCCUAACACAUGCAAGUCGAACGGUAACAGGAAGUGCUUGCACUUCGCUGACGAGUGGCGGACGGGUGAGUAAUGCUUGGGAACUUGCCUUUGCGAGGGGGAUAACAGUUGGAAACGACUGCUAAUACCGCAUAAUGUCUACGGACCAAACGGGGCUUCGGCUCCGGCGCAAAGAGAGGCCCAAGUGAGAUUAGCUAGUUGGUAAGGUAAAGGCUUACCAAGGCAACGAUCUCUAGCUGUUCUGAGAGGAAGAUCAGCCACACUGGAACUGAGACACGGUCCAGACUCCUACGGGAGGCAGCAGUGGGGAAUAUUGCACAAUGGGGGAAACCCUGAUGCAGCCAUGCCGCGUGUGUGAAGAAGGCCUUCGGGUUGUAAAGCACUUUCAGUUGUGAGGAAAAGUUAGUAGUUAAUACCUGCUAGCCGUGACGUUAACAACAGAAGAAGCACCGGCUAACUCCGUGCCAGCAGCCGCGGUAAUACGGAGGGUGCGAGCGUUAAUCGGAAUUACUGGGCGUAAAGCGCACGCAGGCGGUUUGUUAAGCUAGAUGUGAAAGCCCCGGGCUCAACCUGGGAUGGUCAUUUAGAACUGGCAGACUAGAGUCUUGGAGAGGGGAGUGGAAUUCCAGGUGUAGCGGUGAAAUGCGUAGAUAUCUGGAGGAACAUCAGUGGCGAAGGCGACUCCCUGGCCAAAGACUGACGCUCAUGUGCGAAAGUGUGGGUAGCGAACAGGAUUAGAUACCCUGGUAGUCCACACCGUAAACGCUGUCUACUAGCUGUUUGUGACUUUAAGUCGUGAGUAGCGAAGCUAACGCGCUAAGUAGACCGCCUGGGGAGUACGGCCGCAAGGUUAAAACUCAAAUGAAUUGACGG